Molecule: ribosomal RNA, 555 nt
Filed under: uncultured Galbibacter sp.
Lineage: Bacteria; Pseudomonadati; Bacteroidota; Flavobacteriia; Flavobacteriales; Flavobacteriaceae
Description: bacterial SSU rRNA
Rfam family: Bacterial small subunit ribosomal RNA
Source: RNAcentral
CCGAUUACCUGCAUCCAGACUGAUCCAGCCAUGCCGCGUGCAGGAAGACUGCCCUAUGGGUUGUAAACUGCUUUUAUAUGGGAAGAAUAAGGGCUACGUGUAGCUUGAUGACGGUACCAUAUGAAUAAGCAUCGGCUAACUCCGUGCCAGCAGCCGCGGUAAUACGGAGGAUGCAAGCGUUAUCCGGAAUCAUUGGGUUUAAAGGGUCCGUAGGCGGGCCAAUAAGUCAGGGGUGAAAGUCUGCGGCUCAACCGUAGAAUUGCCUUUGAUACUGUUGGUCUUGAAUAUGUAGGAAGUGGCUGGAAUGAGUAGUGUAGCGGUGAAAUGCAUAGAUAUUACUCAGAACACCAAUUGCGAAGGCAGGUCACUACUACAUUAUUGACGCUGAUGGACGAAAGCGUGGGGAGCGAACAGGAUUAGAUACCCUGGUAGUCCACGCCGUAAACGAUGGAUACUAGCUGUUGGGUUUUCGGACUCAGUGGCUAAGCGAAAGUGAUAAGUAUCCCACCUGGGGAGUACGUUCGCAAGAAUGAAACUCAAAUGAAAUUUGACGGA